Molecule: long non-coding RNA, 318 nt
Filed under: Mus musculus (house mouse)
Lineage: Eukaryota; Metazoa; Chordata; Mammalia; Rodentia; Muridae
Description: predicted gene, 47020
Source: RNAcentral
GGGCCUCCGCUGUGCCUAACUAGUAAACAAGUCCUGUACGCAGGUGCAAGAGUGAAUUCACUCCUAGUCACUCCCAUUCGGGGUGUAAUAGUGGGGUGAUGGGCAAGCAACGAAUCGGGAGCUGUCACGCCAUAUCAGACCUGUUCCUCCAUGGCUCACUGCCCUCUCCAUCUCCACUGCAGUUCUGAAGAGAAAUGGACAAGCAUAACUUCCCUGAGGACAUGGACUGAACCUGAUGUGCCUGUUGUCCCUGUUCCCCUGUACCAGGAUAUCCAGAAUGUAACAAUAGGCAGUAAAUGUAAGUUCUUUUCAACUGAA